This 497-nucleotide ribosomal RNA is filed under the name uncultured bacterium. Its description in RNAcentral is "partial 16S ribosomal RNA". It matches the Rfam family "Bacterial small subunit ribosomal RNA", at positions 28 to 507 of the family's 1533-position model. The record is from RNAcentral.
GAUGAACGCUGGCGGCGUGCCUAAUACAUGCAAGUCGAGCGAACAGAUAAGGAGCUUGCUCCUUUGAUGUUAGCGGCGGACGGGUGAGUAACACGUGGAUAACCUACCUAUAAGACUGGGAUAACUUCGGGAAACCGGAGCUAAUACCGGAUAACAUAUUGAACCGCAUGGUUCAAUAGUGAAAGGCGGCUUUGCUGUCACUUAUAGAUGGAUCCGCGCCGUAUUAGCUAGUUGGUAAGGUAACGGCUUACCAAGGCAACGAUACGUAGCCGACCUGAGAGGGUGAUCGGCCACACUGGAACUGAGACACGGUCCAGACUCCUACGGGAGGCAGCAGUAGGGAAUCUUCCGCAAUGGGCGAAAGCCUGACGGAGCAACGCCGCGUGAGUGAUGAAGGUCUUCGGAUCGUAAAACUCUGUUAUCAGGGAAGAACAAAUGUGUAAGUAACUGUGCACAUCUUGACGGUACCUGAUCAGAAAGCCACGGCUAACUACGUG